UACAGAGGGUGCGAGCGUUAAUCGGAAUUACUGGGCGUAAAGCGUGCGUAGACGGUUAUUUAAGUCGGAUGUGAAAGCCCCGGGCUCAGCCUGGGAAUUGCAUUCGAGACUGAAUAGCUAGGGUACGGUAGAGGGAAGUGGAAUUUCCGGUGUAGCGGUGAAAUGCGUAGAUAUCGGAAGGAACAUCAGUGGCGAAAGCGACUUCCUGGACCAGUACCGACGUUCAGGCACGAAAGCGUGGGGAGCAAACAGG
This 253-nucleotide ribosomal RNA is filed under the name uncultured bacterium. Its description in RNAcentral is "partial 16S ribosomal RNA". It matches the Rfam family "Bacterial small subunit ribosomal RNA", at positions 524 to 776 of the family's 1533-position model. The record is from RNAcentral.